This 438-nucleotide RNase P RNA is filed under the name Hyphomicrobium sp. MC1. Its description in RNAcentral is "Bacterial RNase P class A". It matches the Rfam family "Bacterial RNase P class A". From Rfam's summary of the family: Ribonuclease P (RNase P) is a ubiquitous endoribonuclease, found in archaea, bacteria and eukarya as well as chloroplasts and mitochondria. Its best characterised activity is the generation of mature 5'-ends of tRNAs by cleaving the 5'-leader elements of precursor-tRNAs. The record is from Rfam by way of RNAcentral. Lineage: Bacteria; Pseudomonadati; Pseudomonadota; Alphaproteobacteria; Hyphomicrobiales; Hyphomicrobiaceae.
CCAGCCGGCCGGACGGCCGCUGCCGGAUAUCGUUGAGGCGAAACGGGCUCUAAAGGCUCGCGAGCAAAGCGUCCGGUGGAGGAAAGUCCGGGCUCCCAGAGAACACGGUGGCGGCUAACGGCCGCCGGGGGCGACCCCAGGGAAAGUGCCACAGAGAACAUACCGCCUCCGCGCCUCCGGGCUCGGCGGUAAGGGUGAAAAGGUGCGGUAAGAGCGCACCGCGCUUCUGGCAACAGAAGCGGCAGGGCAAACCCCACCGGGAGCAAGAUCAAAUAGGGGUGGGCGCGCGGAGCGGGAAACCGCAGACGCAAGGCGCGUUCUCACGCUACCUGCCCGGGUUGAUUGCACGAGGCGCUUGGCGACAGGCGUCCCAGAUGAAUGGUCGUCGCGGAGGCGCAAUCCUCCAAACAGAACCCGGCUUACAGGCCGGCUGGUAUU